Molecule: long non-coding RNA, 187 nt
Organism: Impatiens glandulifera
Lineage: Eukaryota; Viridiplantae; Streptophyta; Magnoliopsida; Ericales; Balsaminaceae
Exons: 2
Source: RefSeq, a predicted model, not a curated record
AUUCCGGUAUUCAUGGGAUCUUCCGGACGUUCAAUGUUUUGGUUCGAAUGUUGUAUAUUUGGGUUUUGAGCUUGAUUUGGGAAGUAAUUUGGAAAGAAGUUGUAGUUUUGUGAAGGAUCCAUGAAAGAGUUUGAAGAUUUCAAAAGAAAGGUGAUACAAACAAGGAUGAUAAUAUGGUAGAAAAUUU